UUUAAAGUGCACACAAAUAGUUAAGGUAAAAAAAAAAUGUUAUAAAAUAUUUACUUCUUAAAUUUGUUUUUACAAGAAGCUAUAUUUAAUUGGAUUACUAAAGUUGGUUGCCAAAUAUGGAUUGUCGUUAAGUUUUGCCUAAUCAAUAAUAAAAACAAAAAUUUAGAAAGUGCUUUCUUAUUAAAUAAACAAUAAAAACGAGGGGAAAACCAACUUACAUAUGAAAGAAUAAAUGAAACUAUUACAUAAUAAUGGAAUGAGUAUUGAUUAUUAUAUUAUUAAUUUUUGACCGACGUUAUUUAAUUGCUCCCAGAAGUCUUAACAGUCUUAUCACGGAGCACCGCGGGAGAGCAUUUAACUGGAAGUUCACGUCCCCUUUCGCACCAAUGCCGCUUGUUGAGCUAGAGCUAACCACUGCGCCACGGCUGCUAAUGUUUUAGUAGCUGUUUUUUUUAAAGGAUUUUUAAAGCCACGACUGUUCUUAUUUUAGUCGCUGUUUUUUUAAAGCAUGGUUUUACGUUAGUAAUUGACCAUCUAAAAAAUAUUUUUAUCAGUAUUUUACAGUCCUUUGCUUUAGUAGUUGACCAUAUGUUCAAUGAGUGAAAAUGAAAGCUGUAAAAAUUUUUUAAUUUUAUUUCAGUAAAUACAACAGACCUA
This is a long non-coding RNA of Hydra vulgaris (swiftwater hydra), 657 nucleotides long. RefSeq lists it as uncharacterized. NCBI's taxonomy places the organism in Eukaryota, Metazoa, Cnidaria, Hydrozoa, Anthoathecata, Hydridae. The record is from RefSeq and is a predicted model, not a curated record.